Molecule: ribosomal RNA, 432 nt
Filed under: uncultured bacterium
Lineage: Bacteria
Description: bacterial SSU rRNA
Rfam family: Bacterial small subunit ribosomal RNA
Source: RNAcentral
AGCGAACGCUGGCGGCAGGCCUAACACAUGCAAGUCGAACGGAUCCUUCGGGAUUAGUGGCGGACGGGUGAGUAACACGUGGGAACGUGCCUUUUGGUUCGGAACAACUCAGGGAAACUUGAGCUAAUACCGAAUGUGCCCUUCGGGGAAAGAUUUAUCGCCAUUAGAGCGGCCCGCGUCUGAUUAGCUAGUUGGUGGGGUAAAGGCUCACCAAGGCUACGAUCAGUAGCUGGUCUGAGAGGAUGAUCAGCCACAUUGGGACUGAGACACGGCCCAAACUCCUACGGGAGGCAGCAGUGGGGAAUCUUGCGCAAUGGGCGAAAGCCUGACGCAGCCAUGCCGCGUGAAUGAUGAAGGUCUUAGGAUUGUAAAAUUCUUUCACCGGGGACGAUAAUGACGGUACCCGGAGAAGAAGCCCCGGCUAACUUCGUG